UACCAGCACCCCGAGUGGUCGGGACGAUUAUUGGGCCUAAAGCAUCCGUAGCCGGUUCUGCAAGUCCCCCGUUAAAUCCAGCUUCUCAACAGAUGGGCCGCGGAGGAUACUACAGAGCUAGGAGGCAGGAGAGGCAAGCGGUACUCAGUGGGUAGGGGUAAAAUCCGUUGAUCCAUUGAAGACCACCAGUGGCGAAGGCGGCUUGCCAGAAUGCGCUCGACGGUGAGGGAUGAAAGCUGGGGGAGCAAACCGG
RNAcentral lists this ribosomal RNA (253 nucleotides) under uncultured bacterium. RNAcentral describes it as "partial 16S ribosomal RNA". It matches the Rfam family "Archaeal small subunit ribosomal RNA", at positions 474 to 727 of the family's 1478-position model. The record is from RNAcentral.